GCUUGCUUAACACAAUGGAAAUAAAUGCAGCAAGCAGAUGCAUUAAAUUUUAAAAGCUGUAAUGUUUAUCUGUGGUCUAUAAAGUGCAACCAUGGUCUUUUUAAUCUGCUUAUGUUAGUUACCUGGUCAGUUUGGUUUGGCCAUGAAGGAAGAAAAAAAAAAACAACUCAAAGAUGAAUAAUUAUGUUGGAAAAGCAUAUAGUUACAAAGAAAAAGUCACCUAUAUGUCAGAGAAAAAUGUGUCUAUGUUGUAGGCAGUAUAUAAAAUGGAUGUGGAUGAGAUAACUAAGGGAUUGUGUAUAGAGAAAAAUGGGAAUUGAGAUUACACCUGGACAAUUUAUGAUUCAACAUUUUGUGGUUGGGAAAAGUAGAAAAAGCUAGCAAAAGAGAAUCAGAAGUAGGAAGAGGAAAACUAGGAGGGUGUGAUAUUUCAAUGCAAUACUAUACUUCGGGGGCUUUUCUUGCUGUACAUAAUAAAACUGGAUACCUCUCUCUCUC
Molecule: long non-coding RNA, 498 nt
Organism: Leopardus geoffroyi (Geoffroy's cat)
Lineage: Eukaryota; Metazoa; Chordata; Mammalia; Carnivora; Felidae
Exons: 2
Source: RefSeq, a predicted model, not a curated record